Molecule: long non-coding RNA, 908 nt
Filed under: Phasianus colchicus (ring-necked pheasant)
Lineage: Eukaryota; Metazoa; Chordata; Aves; Galliformes; Phasianidae
Description: lncRNA (ENSPCLG00000007106.1)
Source: RNAcentral
AACAGAUUAAUAUUCAGCAGAGCGAUAAAUGCAUCCUUCUCCUUAAUUCUGCUGCAGGCAACCCUGCAGGCACCUCUGUCCUUGGUUGCUUUGAUCAGCUCCACCUGUGCCCACACCUGCUGCCCAUGGACGGCUAUACUUCUGACUUUUUACUCUGCCUUUGACUGGAGUUUGUGGGGCUGUGGUUGGAGGUUUUGGCUGCUGUGGAACUGCUACAUUGGCUUAGUGAACCUAUCUGUACCUGUUGGCGAUUUGAACCUCUGCCCACACAGCCCUGUGACCAGAGACUUUCAACAGGCGCUUACAAGAUGGCUGAUAGGCCACAAGAAGCCAUGGGUAGCAUCAAAGAGAUUGAAUGGAGAGUCUUGUUUUAAAUACAUAUAUUUUUGUGAGGAAUGUAACAUCUUUCAUCUGCUAGAAGCUAAAGGUUUGUCUCCUUGGCUGCAAUAGAGGGAAGAUGACGUUUCCUUUCUUUGUCUUUGUGAAGCUGAAAAAGAUUGAUGCCCUUUAAGAAGAAUCUAAGGCUAUGUACUUCUAUAUUUUAACAUUUGGAAGUUGUGUUUUCAUAGCUGAAAUUUAACAGUGCUUCAAUUGAUCUACUAUUCCAUCUGUGUCUAAUCACUGCUGGGCCAAUACUUACAAACUCCCCAGACCAUGAAUCACACUUAAGUAAUCAUCAAUCUAUUGAAAACAUGUUGACUGCUGCUUACCUCAGCCUCAAAAAUCUGUAAUCCAUGUUAUUCUGUGGGCCACAGCUUGGUAGCUAUCAGUUAAAAUGUUAUUUCAGGUGCAGGGAAACCAGCAGAACAUUUUGGUGUAUGCGUUGAAAACUUUUCAGUAAACUGACUUUUACCACAAAAUUUAAAACUCUGUGGCAUUUAGAAAAGAGACACACCUUCCCUCCUGCC